Long non-coding RNA from Carassius gibelio (silver crucian carp), 319 nucleotides. RefSeq lists it as uncharacterized. The record is from RefSeq and is a predicted model, not a curated record. Lineage: Eukaryota; Metazoa; Chordata; Actinopteri; Cypriniformes; Cyprinidae. The transcript has 2 exons.
AGAGAACAUCUGAUCACAUAAUCUGGAGAAACAUCAAGAUAAUCGAGACAGAUCUGGGAUUGAUGGAAGGGAAAUCAGCCCUAAAUCUGCUCGAUUAUCUUUUGGUGUGUACCCAGCAGAAAUCAUCUCUGUUCACACAUUUCUCUUCUUCUCUGUUUCUGAAGCAGAAGCAGUUCAUUUCUCACAAAAGAAGAACAAGAUUAAAAAGAUAUUAAAAGACAAACUUCACGUUUCUUGAGAAUCAGUUUAAAAAGCCUGACGUCGUUUUAACUUUGAAUCACUUUUAAAAGCUUGACGUUUGAACACCUGAAAUGUAAAA